GGGUUUCUACAUUCUCCCCCCCCCCUUAAUAGAAUUCGUCCUCGAAUUCUUAGUUGUGAAAUUGAUCGUCUUCACAACAUUCUCCAAGCGUCUCCUAACCUCUUUACUCUGUCCACAACUGUUCUUUGAGUGUGCUCCUCAAGGUCUCCACAAUUGUCUUCAUAUCUCUUGACUGAGUCGUCCUCUUUCUCUUAUUCUGCCAUAACACAUUGAUUGCCCAUGAUACAAACUUGUCCAGAUUCCUCCAAUCCUUCUCGGUCUUCGUCUUCCCAAG
RNAcentral lists this long non-coding RNA (274 nucleotides) under Brassica rapa (field mustard). RNAcentral describes it as "long non-coding RNA (BRAP_LNC000441)". The record is from RNAcentral. Lineage: Eukaryota; Viridiplantae; Streptophyta; Magnoliopsida; Brassicales; Brassicaceae.